GAGCUAUCAUGAGCGGACGAUACCUGGGGGGGAACAGACGGCCGAGUGAAAAGCGGUAGAAGCCGCCAGAGGACCCCCUAACUCUGUUUCUAUAAUGCUUCUUCUGAGUAAAACAAGCAAAUAAAUUAAAACUUUCAACAACGGAUCUCUUGGCUCUGGCAUCGAUGAAGAACGCACUCGAAAUGCGAUAAGUAAUGUGAAUUGCAGAAUUCAGUGAAUCAUCGAAUCUUUGAACGCACAUUGCGCCCGCCAGUAUUCUGGCGGGCAUGCCUGUUCGAGCGUCAUUACAACCCUCAGGCCCCCGGGCCUGGCGUUGGGGAUCGGCGGAGGCCCUCCGUGGGCACACGCCGUCCCCCAAAUACAGUGGCGGUCCCGCCGCAGCUUCCAUCGCGUAGUAGCUAACACCUCGCGACUGUUGUAGUGGCUGCGGCCACGCCGUAAAACCCCCAACUCUUCUGAAGGUGACCUCGAAUCAGGUAGGAAUACCCGCUGAACUUAAGCAUAUCAAUAAACGGAGGAAGCU
Molecule: ribosomal RNA, 523 nt
Filed under: Fusarium sp.
Lineage: Eukaryota; Fungi; Ascomycota; Sordariomycetes; Hypocreales; Nectriaceae
Description: eukaryotic LSU rRNA
Rfam family: 5.8S ribosomal RNA (bases 130-284)
Source: RNAcentral